UCGACAAAAUUACUAUGCUAUAAUGAAUGGCUUUAUAUAUUACCCGAAACCAGGACCAAAGAUAACAUUCAUAGCACUUCCACAAAUCUCAAGAGGAUGUAAACAAUCACAUCCAAAGCUAAAGUUGCAGUGAAGGAAAGUCCCAAACAUUUGAUGUCAAAUGGACUAACUAGCUGAAUAUUGGUCCAAGAAGUUUCAGACGCCAAUAUUUAAUUGCAGCGAUUCCCAAUUUCAACCGCAUUCCAUGUAACUAGAAAAGGAUGAGUAGAGUCAUGCCAUUAGUGCAGCAGAAUUAACGCCUUGAUUCACUGUAGCUAUUAUCUUCUCUGUUCAAAACAAAAGAAACGUCAUUAACUUCAGCUAAAUUAACAUGAUCUUAACAACUUUUCAAACUCAUUGCUGCAGAAAAAAGCCAAUAUAGCUCAAGGUUUAAGCCUCAUCUUAAUACAUGUAAAUGGACAUAUUUUUCUUUUACCAUUGUUGCGUGCAAGCAAUACCACAGAAAACAAACGUGAGCAAUUAAAGCAUGAUACAAAUGAAGUUCGGUAGCUGUCAGCGUGUCAGACAUCUAUGUCAUAGUCAGGAUCAAUUGAAGAUAAUCUAAAAAUCUAGCUAACAUGGCUUCUGACAAUUACAAGGCCAUUAUUGUGUUGAAGAUCAUCAUUGAAUCACCUAUCCUGAAAAUAUGAAAAUGCUCUAUUUCGUAAUUAAAGAACAUCAGGUUGAUGUAACAAAUUUUCUAUGUAAUGCAUUAUUGCUUACACUAAGUUAAAAACGCAUUUACACCAUUAAUGUGGAACCAAUGCUGUAUGUUCAGCAUUGUCCUUGCAAAUUGGAUGGCAAGACAAACAAGAAUAAGACAGAGCUAAACUCAAUUUUCAACAUCAAAAUAGAGAUCAAAGACAGCAAAUGCUUCCCCCCCCCCCCCCCCCCAAAAUCCGGAAUUCCCACUUUAAAAAAGGGUUACAAUAAAUCAUUAAUUUCAAAUCAAUCCAAUUGAAAUUGGUAAACAUACACAAAUCAACAGCACCUAAUAGUGAAGAUACUGAUACCUAGUAAUAAAUGUGCAUAAAUCAGUGGUUAGAAACACCGUAAAUACUUCAGAGAAAAGGACAGGUGACAUUGAAUUCUAUUAGUUCCAAACAUAAAAAUUCUACCUAAUUCAAAAGAAUUAUUUUUAGGUCUCUACCAAACCAAACCUAAGUACCAUUUGAAAAUGAGCUCAACGGAAGAAUUGAUUUGCCAGAGGGAAGUGAGUAUCUUAAGUCCUUGUCAUGCUUGCAGAAAGCCC
This 1291-nucleotide long non-coding RNA is filed under the name Durio zibethinus. RNAcentral describes it as "long non-coding RNA (DZIB_LNC002198)". The record is from RNAcentral. Lineage: Eukaryota; Viridiplantae; Streptophyta; Magnoliopsida; Malvales; Malvaceae.